UACGGGGGGCGCAAGCGUUGUUCGGAUUUACUGGGCGUAAAGGGCGCGUAGGCGGCCACCGCAAGUCAAUUGUGAAAUCUCCGGGCUUAACUCGGAAAGGUCAACUGAUACUGCGGGGCUAGAGUGCGGAAGGGGCAACUGGAAUUCUCGGUGUAGCGGUGAAAUGCGUAGAUAUCGAGAGGAACACCUGCGGCGAAGGCGGGUUGCUGGGCCGACACUGACGCUGAGGCGCGAAAGCCAGGGGAGCGAACGGG
RNAcentral lists this ribosomal RNA (254 nucleotides) under uncultured bacterium. RNAcentral describes it as "partial 16S ribosomal RNA". It matches the Rfam family "Bacterial small subunit ribosomal RNA", at positions 524 to 776 of the family's 1533-position model. The record is from RNAcentral.